UCUUUUUUUAAAAGCACAUCUGUUACAGUAAAUAUGAGGUGGGCUUAAGAAUCUGCAUUCUGUGUUUUUGAAGAAAUUUGGGGCCAGCUUACUCCCUACAGGCUCAAGAUCAACUGUACCAUAUAG
RNAcentral lists this small nucleolar RNA (126 nucleotides) under Castor canadensis (American beaver). RNAcentral describes it as "Small nucleolar RNA SNORA38 (ENSCCNG00000024081.1)". Lineage: Eukaryota; Metazoa; Chordata; Mammalia; Rodentia; Castoridae. The record is from RNAcentral.